Molecule: unclassified non-coding RNA, 377 nt
Filed under: uncultured Oligoflexales bacterium
Lineage: Bacteria; Pseudomonadati; Bdellovibrionota; Oligoflexia; Oligoflexales
Description: contains 16S-23S intergenic spacer region
Source: RNAcentral
UCCGGUUUAACACCGGCAGUCUCCACAGAGUGCCCAACUGAAUGAUGGCAACUGAGGAUAAGGGUUGCGCUCGUUAAGGGACUUAACCCGACAUCUCACGAUACGAGCUGACGACAGCCAUGCAGCACCUGUCUCCCUGCCCCCGAAGGGGAAACCACAUUUCUGUGGCGGUCAGGGGAUGUCAAACCCAGGUAAGGUUCUUCGCGUUGCAUCGAAUUAAACCACAUGCUCCACCGCUUGUGCGGGCCCCCGUCAAUUCCUUUGAGUUUUAACCUUGCGGCCGUACUUCCCAGGCGGGGUACUUAAUGCGUUAGCGUCGACACUGCAGGGGUCAAUUCCCGCAACAUCUAGUACCCAUCGUUUACGGCGUGGACUAC